Molecule: non-coding RNA, 55 nt
Organism: Salmo salar (Atlantic salmon)
Lineage: Eukaryota; Metazoa; Chordata; Actinopteri; Salmoniformes; Salmonidae
Source: Rfam
UGAAUGCACUAACUGUAAGUCGCUCUGGAUAAGAGUGUCUGCUAAAUGACUGAAA